CCUACGGGAGGCAGCAGUGGGGAAUAUUGCGCAAUGGGCGCAAGCCUGACCCAGCAACGCCGCGUGCAGGAUGAAGGCUUUCGGGUUGUAAACUUCUUUGACAGGGGAAGAGCAGAAGACGGUACACUGAAAACAAGACUCGGCUAACUACGUCCCAGCACCCGCGGUAACUCGUAGGUGGCAAGCGUUGUCCGGCAUUACUGGGUGUAAUGGGCGGGUAGCCUGGAAGGCAAGUCAGAUGUGAAAUCCGGGGGCGCAACCUCCGUAUUGCAUUUGAAACUGUUUUACUUGAGUGUUGGAGAGGCAGGCGGAAUUCCUUGUGUAGCGGUGAAAGGCGUAGAUAUAAGGAGGAACACCAGUGGCGAAGGCGGUCUGCUGGACAUCAACUGACGGUGAGGAGCGAAAGCGUGGGGAGCAAACAGGAUUAGAUACCCGUGUAGUC
This 442-nucleotide ribosomal RNA is filed under the name uncultured bacterium. RNAcentral's name for it is "partial 16S ribosomal RNA". It matches the Rfam family "Bacterial small subunit ribosomal RNA", at positions 338 to 795 of the family's 1533-position model. The record is from RNAcentral.